AAAAAUACAAUAGUGCCAUAUUUUGGGAAUUCAAUUAAAAUAUAUAUAACGUCACUUUUUUUGUAUAACUGAUGCGUUUGAACAUAUCAAAUAAAAAAUUAAAAUAAGAUUUUAAAAUAGUAUUUUGAAAUUGAUUAAUGCAAAAUAUAUUAUCUCUCGGUUGGACCAUUUAGUCGAGGUAAAUACUAAUAAAAAAUAAAAAAUAAAUAAAAAUGAUAAAAAUGAAACUUAGAAAGGCGCCAAGUGAGAAAUAUUAACUAAACAACUGAAAAAAAUAUAUAAUGUAAUUACUGGGUGUCUGAGCGAGUUCCCUUAUAGCUUUAUUCCAUCGUUUUUCUUAAAACCGAGGUAAAUGGUUGUUUAUUUUUAUAAAAAAAUGAAACCUGGAGCUCCUGGUACAUAUACCCUCAUUUUUUUAUUGUUCGAGGUGUUAGCUUCGUCAUAAAAAAAUUAUUUCUUAUAGUAUGUGCUCAAAU
This 476-nucleotide long non-coding RNA is filed under the name Lathyrus oleraceus (garden pea). Its description in RNAcentral is "Pisum sativum (pea) long non-coding RNA (PSAT_LNC012867)". The record is from RNAcentral. Lineage: Eukaryota; Viridiplantae; Streptophyta; Magnoliopsida; Fabales; Fabaceae.